UCAGAAAUUCUUUUGCACUCGUGUGAGGUCAGAGUCAGACUGAUCUGUCAAUCUGAGCAUAGGAUCACAGUAAUCCACCUGUUUAAUGGGCCUUAUCAAACACUAGGUUUAGAGUUUGUGCAUGCUCUUUUGCGUUUAGUAAGAGUUUACAGGUCCAAUGCUGCUCCUUUUUGGUCAUGGUGCUAUUUCCUGAUUUCUUCUGCAAUCUUAUCUAACACAGGAGAAAAAUGCUUGAUUAAUCCAUACAGAUUGAGUUAACAAGACAACCUCUCGGAACUGCAAUUGUCAGUAAAAGUGAUUUUCACAUUAGCAACCCAAAACAAAUGACAUGGACAGAGCUGACCAGAUGAGGCAGAUCUGUGUAAAAACAGCAAACUUUACUUUCUACUUCCUACCAAACUUUUUCCCAGUAAACACAAUUCAACAGUGCGCCUCAUCAAAAAUCCUGUGAAUCUUGACACACAGUGAGGUUGUGUUGCCAAAUAUAUUAAAAGUCUUGAAAAAUCUCUCACGGCUUUUUAAUUAAACUCUAUAUGUGAGAGGCAAGAGAUUCCUUGCUUUUAUU
Long non-coding RNA from Lagopus muta (rock ptarmigan), 565 nucleotides. RefSeq lists it as uncharacterized. The record is from RefSeq and is a predicted model, not a curated record. The transcript has 3 exons. Lineage: Eukaryota; Metazoa; Chordata; Aves; Galliformes; Phasianidae.